UUUGCACUCUGGUGAAGGUCCAAUUCAUGCUGUGAAGUGGAGAACUAGCCUCGUUGCCUGGGCGAAUGAUACAGGAGUGAAAGUGUAUGAUGCUUCCAAUGAUCAGCGUAUAACAUUCAUUGAAAGACCUCGUGGGAUUCCACGCCCUGAGCUGCUGCUCCCCCAUAUUGUUUGGCAGGAUGACAGUCUUUUGGUCAUUGGUUGGGGAACAUCCG
This 215-nucleotide unclassified non-coding RNA is filed under the name Hevea brasiliensis (rubber tree). Lineage: Eukaryota; Viridiplantae; Streptophyta; Magnoliopsida; Malpighiales; Euphorbiaceae. The record is from RNAcentral.